CUAUACAUGACUCUGCGCAUAUCAAUAAGCGGAGGAAAAGAAACUAACAAGGAUUCCCUUAGUAACGGCGAGUGAAGCGGGAAGAGCUCAAAUUUGAAAUCUUCAAGGUUCUACCUUGACGAAUUGUAGUUUAUAGAAGUGUUUUCUGUUAGUAGGAGUGGCAAAAGUUCUUUGGAAUAGGACAUCAUAGAGGGUGAGAAUCCCGUAUUUGGUCAUUCCUUCCUAGCUUUGUGAUACACUUUCAACGAGUCGGAUUGUUUGGGAAUGCAGUCCAAAAUGGGUGGUAAAUUUCAUCUAAAGCUAAAUAUUGGCGAGAGACCGAUAGCGAACAAGUACCGUGAGGGAAAGAUGAAAAGAACUUUGAAAAGAGAGUUAAACAGUACGUGAAAUUGUCAAAAGGGAAGCGUUUGACACCAGUGUUGUUUUCUCGAAAAUCAAUUAAGAAUGCUGUAUUUUGAUGAAUUGUAUUGACCUUAAUAGGCUUGCUUCAUCUCUUUUCUUGUAACUUUUUAAUGCACUUUUCGGUUAACAAGUCAACAUCAAUUUCUUUUGUUGUAAAAGGGUCAUUGAGGAAGGUGGCUUUCUUUUCGGAGAAAGUGUUUAUAGCCUUGUGAUCUCUGCAAUCCGGAGAGACUGAGGUCUGCAGCGUAGACUCUUCGGGGUUAGAUACAUUUGUGCUAAGCUAUAGUUCUUUCAUAGACAACUUGUUGACUAUAGUCUAGUCCUGUAGCUUACUCGCUGAUGCUAUUUUACCUACGCUUAGGAUGUUGACACACGCGCGUGCUCG
RNAcentral lists this ribosomal RNA (787 nucleotides) under uncultured Neocallimastigales. Its description in RNAcentral is "partial large subunit ribosomal RNA". It matches the Rfam family "Eukaryotic large subunit ribosomal RNA", at positions 22 to 643 of the family's 3401-position model. The record is from RNAcentral. Lineage: Eukaryota; Fungi; Neocallimastigomycota; Neocallimastigomycetes; Neocallimastigales.